GAUGAACGCUGGCGGCGUGCCUAAUACAUGCAAGUCGAGCGAACGGACGAGAAGCUUGCUUUUCUGAUGUUAGCGGCGGACGGGUGAGUAACACGUGGAUAACCCACCUAUAAGACUGGGAUAACUUCGGGAAACCGGAGCUAAUACCGGAUAAUAUUUUGAACCGCAUGGUUCAAAAGUGAAAGACGGUCUUGCUGUCACUUAUAGAUGGAUCCGCGCUGCAUUAGCUAGUUGGUAAGGUAACGGCUUACCAAGGCAACGAUGCAUAGCCGACCUGAGAGGGUGAUCGGCCACACUGGAACUGAGACACGGUCCAGACUCCUACGGGAGGCAGCAGUAGGGAAUCUUCCGCAAUGGGCGAAAGCCUGACGGAGCAACGCCGCGUGAGUGAUGAAGGUCUUCGGAUCGUAAAACUCUGUUAUUAGGGAAGAACAUAUGUGUAAGUAACUGUGCACAUCUUGACGGUACCUAAUCAGAAAGCCACGGCUAACUACGUGCCAGCAGCCGCGGUAAUACGUAGGUGGCAAGCGUUAUCCGGAAUUAUUGGGCGUAAAGCGCGCGUAGGCGGUUUUUUAAGUCUGAUGUGAAAGCCCACGGCUCAACCGUGGAGGGUCAUUGGAAACUGGAAAACUUGAGUGCAGAAGAGGAAAGUGGAAUUCCAUGUGUAGCGGUGAAAUGCGCAGAGAUGUGGAGGAACACCAGUGGCGAAGGCGACUUUCUGGUCCGUAACUGACGCUGAUGUGCGAAAGCGUGGGGAUCAAACAGGAUUAGAUACCCUGGUAGUCCACGCCGUAAACGAUGAGUGCUAAGUGUUAGGGGGUUUCCGCCCCUUAGUGCUGCAGCUAACGCAUUAAGCACUCCGCCUGGGGAGUACGACCGCAAGGUUGAAACUCAAAGGAAUUGACGGGGGCCCGCACAAGCGGUGGAGCAUGUGGUUUAAUUCGAAGCAACGCGAAGAACCUUACCAAAUCUUGACAUCCUUUGACAACUCUAGAGAUAGAGCCUUCCCCUUCGGGGGACAAAGUGACAGGUGGUGCAUGGUUGUCGUCAGCUCGUGUCGUGAGAUGUUGGGUUAAGUCCCGCAACGAGCGCAACCCUUAAGCUUAGUUGCCAUCAUUAAGUUGGGCACUCUAAGUUGACUGCCGGUGACAAACCGGAGGAAGGUGGGGAUGACGUCAAAUCAUCAUGCCCCUUAUGAUUUGGGCUACACACGUGCUACAAUGGACAAUACAAAGGGCAGCGAAACCGCGAGGUCAAGCAAAUCCCAUAAAGUUGUUCUCAGUUCGGAUUGUAGUCUGCAACUCGACUACAUGAAGCUGGAAUCGCUAGUAAUCGUAGAUCAGCAUGCUACGGUGAAUACGUUCCCGGGUCU
This 1372-nucleotide ribosomal RNA is filed under the name uncultured bacterium. Its description in RNAcentral is "bacterial SSU rRNA". It matches the Rfam family "Bacterial small subunit ribosomal RNA", at positions 28 to 1381 of the family's 1533-position model. The record is from RNAcentral.